RNAcentral lists this ribosomal RNA (253 nucleotides) under uncultured bacterium. Its description in RNAcentral is "partial 16S ribosomal RNA". It matches the Rfam family "Bacterial small subunit ribosomal RNA", at positions 524 to 776 of the family's 1533-position model. The record is from RNAcentral.
UACGUAGGGUGCGAGCGUUAAUCGGAAUUACUGGGCGUAAAGCGUGCGCAGGCGGUUCGUUGUGUCGGCGGUGAAAGCCCCGGGCUUAACCUGGGAAUGGCCGUUGAAACUGGCGAACUGGAGUGUGGCAGAGGGGGGUGGAAUUCCGCGUGUAGCAGUGAAAUGCGUAGAGAUGCGGAGGAACACCGAUGGCGAAGGCAGCCCCCUGGGCUAACACUGACGCUCAGGCACGAAAGCAUGGGGAGCAAACAGG